Long non-coding RNA from Callithrix jacchus (white-tufted-ear marmoset), 1051 nucleotides. RefSeq lists it as uncharacterized. NCBI's taxonomy places the organism in Eukaryota, Metazoa, Chordata, Mammalia, Primates, Cebidae. The record is from RefSeq and is a predicted model, not a curated record.
UUCUGAUAAGGGAUAAAAAUUCUUGCCUCAAAUGGCUCCCAUCACACUAAGAUCUUGCAACAAUAACACUACUGAUUUAGACAUUAAUCUUAAGUAUCCAGGGAGCCCUAAAACAUUGUAUUCCACUAGCAAGGACCAUGGUAAUUGCCACGUAAAUCCCCUCCAUAAUGUGGCCCUUAUUAUGAUCAGCCAGCCAAGGCUUGCUUUUAAAUCAUACCAAUUGAACUGAGCCUUGUAGAAACCCUAUCACCUACACAUACCUCUGCUUCUUUUCAUUAACCUGUUAUCCUCUUUACAAAUGGGAUUCUUCACCCACUCCCUUCUUCUAGAUUAGCAAUGCCCUGUUAAGUAAACGAACAUGAAAUUCAAAGAGAAACAGAAGCAAUAAUCAUUACCAGCUGCCGUGUUAAGCAUUGCAAAAACGCUCACGAUUCACAGAGAAAAAUCCAUGCUGUUCUUUGAAGGCAUUCAAGCCUUAAUAGCUAGCUGGAUGAAUGUUUAACUUCUAGGCCAGGUACUACUCUGUUCCAACAAUAAGUCCUGUACAUUGGGAAAGGUGCUGAGACAUGAACUUUGGUCUUCUCUGCAAUCCAUCUGGAACAUUCAGUGACAACAUCAACUUUGAAGUUGCACUGACCUGGCCGGCCCUGCCACUCACCAGGUUGGCUCUUUUAGGUCCUUUGCAUUUGGAUAUAAACUUCAGAAUCAGGUUGUCUAUUCCAACAACAACAACAAAAUGAAACUUUCAGAAAGUUUAAUUGAAAUUGUAUUGAAUCCACAGACAAUUUUGGAGUAAAUCGCAUCUUGGCAAUACUGAGUCCAACCAUUACCAGUGACCUACUUGACUCCAUGAUCCAGCCUGUGAAGGAGUAACUGUUGACAGACUAUCUCAGAAUCACUUUUCCUACAACCCUCUUCUGUCCAAGCAAUUUCCACGAAUACCCUCCUUUUUGUUGUUGUUGUUCACUCAUUAGACAGCUGUUUAUUAAUGGCUGCUAUGUGCUAGGCACUUUAGUAGGCACUGGGAAAUAAAUUGACAAAAUAGAUGCAA